Molecule: non-coding RNA, 479 nt
Organism: Dermacentor albipictus
Lineage: Eukaryota; Metazoa; Arthropoda; Arachnida; Ixodida; Ixodidae
Source: RefSeq, a predicted model, not a curated record
UGGAAGUGGGAAUCGGGGGCAAGGAUUCCUCUGGAAAACUACCCAAGGUAUCACAAAUACCUGCGCUCCAGCUUGCGUAGUUCACCGCUCCCUACAAGCUCUAAAGCACAGUGCCUCCAUGGCAGACGCCGGUAGGCCUGCUGAACACGCAGCAAAAUCAACGAAACCGAGGAGACAUUCGCAUCCGCAUGUCAUCAACAAUAGUGCCGUGCCGUCACCUGUGCACGACUCGCGUGCAUCUCCUGCGGUGAAGCGACACGACGACGGCUACGCGGCGAAACACCUGGUACCCGAGGCGCCACCUCUCAGUCCUGAAGGGGACCAGCACAGUGGUUCCUCCGCAGCCGCAAAGUCUGGAAGCCACUUGCCGUUGGCGUCAAUGCCCCAGCCCAAAGAACAUUUCCAGGGCGGACCUCAGCCGCUAUCACCUACACCUGCUGUACAUGAGGUGCACAAUAUAUAUUUCUGUACCUUCGCAA